UACUCACAAACCAAACUGACUUGUGCUACCCAAUACCUUCAGCUCCAAGUCCAUGUUCUGUCCAUUCAUUCAUUUCUUCUUUCUUCUUCUUACGCAGCACAUCCAAUAGCCCGAGCCGAGAGACUACCUCACUCAGGUCGCCCCCCCACUUGUCGUCAACUUUACCUCGACGCCAUCAGAACUGAACGAAUUCGUCGUCGGCUUCUUCCCCACCCAAUACCCAACCCCUUACCCGUCGUCGAAACAUCGACCCUAGCCCUAGGUCACCGGCUAACCCUCAUUAGGUAUGUGAGGAACAGAACGCUGGCGAAAAUGCCUUCCUUGGUAGAGUUCCAGCUGCAGUGCAACCAGAAGCCGCCGAUCAAGUUGUGGCACAACACCUUCAUCUGGUCGCACCACCACCCCUUUCUCUCCCCACACAUCUCGGAUUCUCGAAGCAUCGGCCUCUCCCGCGCCACCUAGCCACCUAGAAGAACCUGACGCAGCUGCCGGCGAUUUCGGUGAUGAUUUUAUCCAUCUGAGCUUUGGAAACAGAGAGGAAGCUUCCCUGUGAAAUGUAAAGAACAAAGGCUCUAGGCUGAGAGUUAAGCCACUGCACAUUGCCACGGCUAAUUUCGCUCUCUGUAAGGCUAAAGUAAGGAAUCACCUGGCCGAUGGGGUGAAUGGGGAGGAGGAUUGCUUCCUUAAGAACAUAAAUGGUGUGGGAUUCGAUCUUGUAGGUGGAAACAAAAAGGAGAAACUGCGUCUUUCGCACCCGUGACGUAGCUUCCAUAGCUAUAUGGAAAACCUUUCGUCCGUCGUCGUGGAAGAAUGUUGGAAGAUUUGCUAAGCGGGUUAGCGGAAGUCUAGUGAAUAGUUCAGAAUUUGGUCUGGAUAUUGAAGAUUAUCUUAUUGGAAUUUGUUUUAUGUCCAAUGAACUGCCAAGGUAUGUGGUGAACCAAGUAACAGCUGGGGAUUAUGAUUGUCCAAGAAAUGUGUUGAAGUUCUUAACAAUAACAGAUCUUCAUGCAUGUAUUAUUCACGGAUGGAUCACGUCAGAUUAGAAGAUAGUGUGCAUUAUUAUACACAUAUAUUAGGCUUUGUAAUUUUAUUACCAACUUUGAAUCCGAGGAAUUGCUUUGGUGAUGUGGUCAUCUAACUUUUUGCUAGUGCUUCCAAUUGAUGUGUGGUCAUCUAAUUUUAUUAUGUAUGGUCUUGCUAGAAUUAUAGGUGUGUUAUAUGUUUAUGGUUUUAUGACUU
This is a long non-coding RNA of Diospyros lotus (date-plum), 1239 nucleotides long. RefSeq lists it as uncharacterized. The transcript is spliced from 4 exons. The record is from RefSeq and is a predicted model, not a curated record. NCBI's taxonomy places the organism in Eukaryota, Viridiplantae, Streptophyta, Magnoliopsida, Ericales, Ebenaceae.